Lutra lutra (Eurasian river otter) is the source of this 925-nucleotide long non-coding RNA. RefSeq lists it as uncharacterized. NCBI's taxonomy places the organism in Eukaryota, Metazoa, Chordata, Mammalia, Carnivora, Mustelidae. The record is from RefSeq and is a predicted model, not a curated record. The transcript is spliced from 2 exons.
AUUAAAAACAGGAGCCCCCAGUGCUCACCUGCACCAGCCUUCUUCAGAGCUCUCACUAGCACAGCCUCACUUUGACUGCAUUCCGUGCAUCUCUGCUCUGUGACGGAUCUCCCUGCACAGCGCUGGUGAAAAUGAGAAGCCCUGACUUGCUCCCCUGUGUACACCUAGUCCCUGUCCUGGCACCAGGCAUUCUGGUUAGUGCCCACCAGUUUGUCGAGUGAGCCUUCCAUCAGUGGCUGCACGCUACUUGCACCAUACUGCCUGCCCUAGAGCAGAAGGUCUUGGACUGUAGCACUAUCCUAUUUAUGCCUUACGUUUGACAUGAAUCCUCUUCGUUCUACAAGGUGAUUCAUAGGAAAUUCCAAUGUCAUGCCUAUUUCUACUUUAUGCUAGUUAAUGCUACUCUGCUUGGAACAUCCUUCAGUUCAACAAUAAACACUCCAACACUGCUACUUCCUGGGGAUAAAGAUGAAUGAUCCAAGCCCAGAGAUAACAGGGACGGACUAGCAAAGGAGAAAGUGGAAGACUGUAAUAGAAAAGCACAGGGUGUUACAGAGACUAAACAAAAACGCUGGUUGAGAUAGUUCCCAGAGUUCUACAGCAGAUGACACUGCAAAGUUUAAAUGCCACCCAGGAAGGAAGUGGUACAUGUGCAGAGACAGAAACAAGGGCGCCAGAGGCAGCGAGUGGGACCCACCUCUCUCCAUGCUGAACCCCGCGUGGACAUGGAAGACUUUGCUUGCUGGGAUGUCUAGCAUAGUAUUGCUGAACUGCACAUGGCACAGCACAAGGGUCUCAGGAAGAAGUACUGUUGUGAUGGCCAAGGCCUGACUUGGGGUACAGGAUCCUAAUAAGCAGAAAACAGAGAAAUAACUGCCAUAAGAAUCUGUAAAAGAGGAAACUUACAUAAGCCAGUAGUUUGAUU